CGCACGGGUGAGUAACACGUGACUAACCUACCUCCGAGUGGGGAAUAACCUAGAGAAAUCUGGGCUAAUACCGCAUAACACUUACGAGUCAAAGCAGCAAUGCGCUUGGGGAGGAGGUCGCGGCAGAUUAGCUAGUUGGUGGGGUAAUGGCCCACCAAGGCGAUGAUCUGUAUCCGGCCUGAGAGGGCGCACGGACACACUGGAACUGAAACACGGUCCAG
Molecule: ribosomal RNA, 221 nt
Filed under: uncultured bacterium
Lineage: Bacteria
Description: partial 16S ribosomal RNA
Rfam family: Bacterial small subunit ribosomal RNA
Source: RNAcentral